GAUGCUAUGAUGAAAUGGUAUACAUGGUCGCCUUGAAAGCGGCUGCCCUUGUGGCGUGCAGGUUCGACUCCUGCUAGCAUCU
This 82-nucleotide transfer RNA is filed under the name Pseudomonadota bacterium. RNAcentral's name for it is "Proteobacteria bacterium (activated sludge metagenome) tRNA-Ser". It matches the Rfam family "tRNA". From Rfam's summary of the family: Transfer RNA (tRNA) molecules are approximately 80 nucleotides in length. The record is from RNAcentral. Lineage: Bacteria; Pseudomonadati; Pseudomonadota.